CCAACGGCCUUUUUAAGGCCACCACAUUUUACAAAGAGCAAUUG
This is a non-coding RNA of Orchesella cincta, 44 nucleotides long. NCBI's taxonomy places the organism in Eukaryota, Metazoa, Arthropoda, Collembola, Entomobryomorpha, Orchesellidae. The record is from Rfam.